Beta vulgaris subsp. vulgaris (sugar beet) is the source of this 817-nucleotide long non-coding RNA. RefSeq lists it as uncharacterized. The transcript has 3 exons. The record is from RefSeq and is a predicted model, not a curated record. Lineage: Eukaryota; Viridiplantae; Streptophyta; Magnoliopsida; Caryophyllales; Amaranthaceae.
CUAAAACAAAAACUCCAUCUUCUUAAUCUAAAACUCGCGUAUCCAUCUCAGUAUCUCCCUAUCUCCCUCUCCUAAAACUCCAACUCCCCAUCUCCCUCUAACCUAAAACUCUCUCUGAACGUUGCUUAUCUCUCCCUCCCUCUCUCUCUCCUUUACUCGAAUCUUCUUUCUCUCUCCCCGUUUCUCUGAAACCCAGAACUCCAAAAUUGAAAACCCCAAAAACCCCGUGAAGCGUAUUAUUGCUGCCGAAAUCCUACCGCUGGCGUCGUGCUGCUGUUGCUUAGUCUUGCCAGAACCCCGUUGGCUUCGUCGAAGCUUCGAAAAACCCUUCGAAUUCAUCAAAUUUCCAUCUUUUGCUUUGCGAGUGGAAAAAAAACCUAAAAAAGGGAGGAUUUGGUGAUUUAAAGAUCUGACGGAAAGGCCUGGUGAAGCUUCGAAGGAAAAAGCUUAUAGAUCUGAAAUAUUUUGGCUUUCUUCGACGUUCUCCAUCUCUAACAGAUCUGAAAGUGUCUGAAAUACUUUGGCUUUCUUUGCCAUUCUCCAUCUCCUACAGAAGAGGGCGACUAUUGACGGUGAAGAUUGAAGAAUAUUGUGUUUGCCUUCGAUCUUUAACAUCAUUCAGAUAUUAGGUUAUUUUUUAAAAGUUUUUCUCCUAGAUUGUAUUGGAUUAGCCUCCAAUUUUUUUUUUAUCUUUUUGGAUCUAUGUAAAAGUUGUAAUAAAUUGUAAAUUUUAAUGUUUGGAUAUUAAAUUUUGGUGUUUUUUGUGUGUUAGAUCUAAUUUGUUUUGGUUUCAAAUUGUAUAAUAAUAAUGUUCCUA